Molecule: ribosomal RNA, 250 nt
Filed under: uncultured bacterium
Lineage: Bacteria
Description: partial small subunit ribosomal RNA
Rfam family: Bacterial small subunit ribosomal RNA
Source: RNAcentral
AGAAUCAACGCUGGCGGCGUGCCUAACACAUGCAAGUCGCACGAGAAAGGGGAAGGCAAUCCCUGAGUAAAGUGGCGCACGGGUGAGUAACACGUGAAUGAUCUACCUCCGAGUGGGGAAGUAAACUGAGAGAAAUCUUAGCUAAUACCGCAUAACACUUACGAGUCAAAGCAGCAAUGCGCUUGGAGAGGAGUUCGCGGCCGAUUAGCUAGUUGGCGGGGGUAAUGGCCCACCAAGGCGAUGAUCGGUA